UUUAAGGAUGAUAAACAUACACAGACCUGUACGCAAUCGUCCUAGACGUUGUCGACAACUUGUAUUGCCUUUUUUUGCUGAAA
This 83-nucleotide small nucleolar RNA is filed under the name Wallemia ichthyophaga. RNAcentral describes it as "Small nucleolar RNA snR56". It matches the Rfam family "Small nucleolar RNA snR56". The record is from Rfam by way of RNAcentral. Lineage: Eukaryota; Fungi; Basidiomycota; Wallemiomycetes; Wallemiales; Wallemiaceae. RNAcentral also lists the same sequence under 1 other name.